GCCCUGGCCCCUUGGCCUCGCUGCAUGAGAAGACAGCUGCUUCCUCCUCUACCCCGUAAUUAUUCUUUUACAACUGAGUGCCUUAAUAAUCGUUUACAAAUACUGUGUAUUUAUGCGCAGCCGUUCAGCUCUCAUCUUUCGUGGCUGGGUACUUCGGUCCCGGUGGUUAAGAUUAGCACCUGAGCUCGUCCCUACCCCCCAUCCACGUGUGUCACUCUGCUAUGCAGUUGACAUCCUGGGUCCUGACUACUCCACCCAGCCUGCUGAAUCCCCACAGGCUAUGCGGACAUCGGCAAACCCCGAAAACCUGAGGUAGGUAGUGAAGGACGAGAUUUGGUUUGCCAGGCAGCCGAGAGGUGGUGCAGGCCCAGCGUUCCCUGAACCACAGCCCAAGACCACACCACCUGAACCUCUCAAGGUCGCCCUCUAGUUUACAGAGGCUUGCCAACGCCUACCCUCCACCCCUUCACACUCCCUCCUCUUCUGCCUGUGUCCUGAGCUCCUUGCUACAUGGGUACAGCUCACUCCAGAGGAGGAGUGGCACCAGACCGCAUCCUUCACCUUUCAAACGCCCGCAGCCACCACCGUGCCGGAUUCCUUCGUCACAUUACAACUUCGAUGGUUUUUUUUUUUAUUGUAUUGUUUUUCUUGUUUUUUAUAUUAUAUAUUUAAGAGGCAGUAUCUUUUGUACUGUGAAUUUUCAGUAGAAGAGGCAUAGUGCACUUUUUUUUUUUUACUUCUGUUGGUGUGUACUGUACAUAAUAGUCUGCGUGCUUCUCGUGAUGAGAAUAAACACUUCCUUUAUACAUGU
RNAcentral lists this long non-coding RNA (811 nucleotides) under Rattus norvegicus (Norway rat). RNAcentral describes it as "long non-coding RNA NONRATT007627". The record is from RNAcentral. Lineage: Eukaryota; Metazoa; Chordata; Mammalia; Rodentia; Muridae.